GUGGGGGCAGGGCCGGCAGCCGUUGCUCGAGCACCGUCAAGCGUUGCACCAGCCCGGCGAGGAGCACCUGGUCCUCCGCUCGUUGGAGUGCGAAGGCCUCCAAUUGCUUCGUGAUGAUCUUCAUCUGCUCCGCAACCUCGAUCUUGAUUUCUUUGUCCGCCAUCGUGGAUGGAUCUGAUACCAAAUUGGAAGAAUCUACUACUGACAUAACCCUAAUUACAGAAAGUAGAUAAAAGUAAACGACAAUAUUUUUCUCUGCUUUAUUGAUAGGGGUCGGCCCCUUUAUAUAAUAGACAAGACCGGGCUAACAAGCCGGAAAUCUAUUCAAACUCUAAUACAAUCUCUAAACUGACUGGACUCUUUCCUGACAAAGAUGCUUAAUCAAAUCAACUAGGACUAAGGGAUAAGACUCCACGUUUGAUGGGCUGGUCCACAUAACAGUAAACAAGUUCCUGUAAUUUUUAGCAUAUUUUUCUCAGAACUUUGUUUCUUCAAAUAGGAAUGUACAUGCUCGUGCUUGACCUUCAGAACUACUUUAUAAACCAGAUUUCCUCGGCCAUCGCCUCAGUUCUCCAACUACCGGAUUACGCUUCACUACACAGCAAACAGAGAGCGAAGGUCACCUCAGUACAUAAGCGUAAUCCGGUUAUAACAUUGAAUUUUCUGAAGAAUGAAGAGAAUCUACAAACUUUGAACACUGCACUUGACACAGUAGCACGGAUUUUCUGUAUCACCGAUCGCAAAUCUAAUCAACAUGAUAGUUUGGGGAAUAUGCAAGUUGUCCAACUGACGCUGGGCAUCCCAAUAAGAAACACACCUAUAGUUAUUUUCAGUCACAUGAGCAUAUUUAUUUUGUGGCAUAUCUUGAUUCUUUGGAGUUCCUUUGCAAGAUACUAGUCCAAUAUGCAUAUGCAGUUUGAAAGAACUUCUCUGAUGGAAAAACAUUCCCCAAUUUGGGAAACAUGAGUUGUGUCUUAAUGGCACUAGAUCAAUUCAUUGAUUCUAGCUUUGUUGCUUAUAGGUAAAGCCUAUAAAAUCAUAAGUAUUGUCGCUGCAACGAGUGAUUUCUGAUUUUGCAAGAUGUUCUUUUUUGUGUGCUGUAACAGUUGUACCAAAAGGUCUGAACAAGAGAAUGAGAGACUGCAUAAACAACGUGGAACCUUACUGAUAGCCCUAGUUUCAGCGAUCAAAAUUUCCUUUGUGAUCAACGAGGCUAUCCAGGUACUUAAGUUGCUUGUCCUAUACUUAUAUUGAAUCUUAUUAGUUUGAACAGAAGACCAUUUAGUCAUUUACAGCUGGGUGCUAUGACAUGCAUUACAUAAUCCCUUGAUUCAGCCUGUUGUUGUAUCACUUAUGAGUAUCAUCAUUUUGUUGCAUGUAUAAAUCAUUAUGAAUAUUUUUUUUGUGUAUAUCCCUAUACCAAUGCCAUUUGUGGAGAAUUGAUGUUUAAAUAACCAAUUUACUAUUUUCUAAUACCAUUGUUAUUACGAAUGCAUUUCGCUUUCAUAAUCCAGAAGAGUUUGUCUUCUAUCAAUUGUGCCAUUUCAAGUGCACGGAUAAAGCUUGAUGAUCUCAAAUUUUUAGCCUCUUCUAUUAGUAAUAUUGGCGUGACACUUUAUAAUAUUGGACAUCUUGAAAAGGCACCAAAGGCAGCAGAACUAUGCUGUCAGACAACAUGGGCACACGCCAGACUUCCUUACUAUAGACUAUCAACAAGAACAGAAGGUCACAUCAUUACUGAGGAUCUACCAAAGGAUACACUGAAGGGUAUUAUAGAUGCAUUUGCAAGGAUAGCAAAUAUGAUUGACAUUCUCCAUAGAUGUGGCUCAAAAGCGGCGCAAGAUAUUAUUGUCAAGAGCCUGUCUCAAUUGUUGGUUUUUGGUGACACAUCUGAUUAUCACAAAAGCUAUUUGGUUCUGACCGAGUUAUGGGUGAAGAUAACACUUCAAGAUUUUGAAGAUGACCAACGUGUGGAUAGUGCUCCUCUUCUCUACCACUCUCUUAUGGCCUGCUCGUCUCCCUUGCCAAUGAAGUUAAUAGGCUUAAUCGUAG
This is a long non-coding RNA of Triticum aestivum (bread wheat), 2052 nucleotides long. RefSeq lists it as uncharacterized. NCBI's taxonomy places the organism in Eukaryota, Viridiplantae, Streptophyta, Magnoliopsida, Poales, Poaceae. The transcript is spliced from 4 exons. The record is from RefSeq and is a predicted model, not a curated record.